Non-coding RNA from Triticum aestivum (bread wheat), 134 nucleotides. The record is from Rfam. NCBI's taxonomy places the organism in Eukaryota, Viridiplantae, Streptophyta, Magnoliopsida, Poales, Poaceae.
UUACUACUCCCUCCGUCCGGAAAUACUUAUCAUCGAAAUGGAUAAAAGGGGAUGUAUCUAGAUGUAUUUUAGUUCUAGAUGUAUCUUUUUUAUCCAUUUUGAUGACAAGUAUCUUCGGACGGAGGGAGUACUAC